This 253-nucleotide ribosomal RNA is filed under the name uncultured bacterium. Its description in RNAcentral is "partial 16S ribosomal RNA". It matches the Rfam family "Bacterial small subunit ribosomal RNA", at positions 524 to 776 of the family's 1533-position model. The record is from RNAcentral.
UACAGAGGGUGCAAACGUUGUUCGGAAUUACUGGGCGUAAAGCGCGUGCAGGCGGCCUUGCAAGUCGGACGUGAAAUCCCACGGCUCAACCGUGGAAGUGCAUUCGAAACUGCGAGGCUGGAGUCCUGGAGAGGAAAGUGGAAUACUCGGUGUAGAGGUGAAAUUCGUAGAUAUCAAGCGGAACACCGGUGGCGAAGGCGACCUUCUGGACAGUGACUGACGCUGAGACGCGAAAGCGUGGGGAGCAAACAGG